UGGUUCUGGCAUCGAUGAAGAACGCAGCGAAAUGCGAUAAGUAAUGUGAAUUGCAGAAUUCAGUGAAUCAUCGAAUCUUUGAACGCACAUGGCGCCCACUGGCAAUCCGGUGGGCAUGCCUGUCCGAGCGUCAUAUAAACCACUCCAGCCACAGGUUUUUAAUCUGUACCAGCUGGCGUUGGGCCUUCUAUUUUCGGCGUCUACGCCGGGCCCCAAAAUCUCCAACCACCACUGCGUAUUUUUCGCGGUCCCGCACAGGUAGGGAGGCUAAUCAUCCUUUUAGGGUGAUUUUCCCCCCUACCGGCCGGCGUGUGUAAUCCUUCUUUUGGGCACGAGCGCUGCGAGACAACGUCACGCUUGGCAGUCCCAUGAGGGUUUUGCUGGAACAACAUGGUGCGGUGAAAGAGAAACUAGUCAAGUUAGAAAGGUUUUGCACACAUAUCUUUUCUAACACAAAAAUUGACUAAACAUGGUUUGACCUCGGAUCAGGUAGGGAUACCCGCUGA
This 506-nucleotide unclassified non-coding RNA is filed under the name uncultured fungus. RNAcentral describes it as "partial contains 5.8S ribosomal RNA and internal transcribed spacer 2". The stretch from base 1 to 133 matches the Rfam family "5.8S ribosomal RNA", at positions 22 to 154 of the family's 154-position model. The record is from RNAcentral. Lineage: Eukaryota; Fungi.